GAUGAACGCUAGCGGCAGGCUUAACACAUGCAAGUCGAGGGGCAGCAUGAACAAUAGCAAUAUUGUUUGAUGGCGACCGGCGCACGGGUGCGUAACACGUAUGUAAUCUGCCUUAUACUGGGGCAUAACUCCGAGAAAUCGGUGCUAAUUCCCCAUAACACUGCGAAGUGGCAUCACUUUGCAGUUAAAGCUCCGGCGGUAUAAGAUGAACAUGCGUCCAAUUAGUUAGUUGGUGAGGUAACGGCUCACCAAGACUCCGAUUGGUAGGGGUUCUGAGAGGAUGAUCCCCCACACUGGUACUGAGACACGGACCAGACUCCUACGGGAGGCAGCAGUGAGGAAUAUUGCGCAAUGGACGAAAGUCUGACGCAGCCAUGCCGCGUGAAGGAUUGAAGGCCCUAUGGGUUGUAAACUUCUUUUGUACGGGAAAAAACGCUUCUAUGUAUAGGAGCCUGAUGGUACCGUAAGAAUAAGCACCGGCUAACUCCGUG
This 491-nucleotide ribosomal RNA is filed under the name uncultured organism. RNAcentral describes it as "bacterial SSU rRNA". It matches the Rfam family "Bacterial small subunit ribosomal RNA", at positions 28 to 507 of the family's 1533-position model. The record is from RNAcentral.